This 481-nucleotide ribosomal RNA is filed under the name uncultured bacterium. Its description in RNAcentral is "partial 16S ribosomal RNA". It matches the Rfam family "Bacterial small subunit ribosomal RNA", at positions 28 to 507 of the family's 1533-position model. The record is from RNAcentral.
GAUGAACGCUGGCGGCGUGCCUAACACAUGCAAGUCGAGCGAAGCACUUACUUUAGUUUUCUUCGGAAUGACGAAGUUUGUGACUGAGCGGCGGACGGGUGAGUAACGCGUGGGCAACCUGCCCUGUACAGGGGGAUAACAGUUAGAAAUGACUGCUAAUACCGCAUAAGCCCACAGCUUCGCAUGAAGCAGUGGGAAAAACUCCGGUGGUACAGGAUGGGCCCGCGUCUGAUUAGCUAGUUGGUAAGGUAACGGCUUACCAAGGCGACGAUCAGUAGCCGAGCUGAGAGGGUGACCGGCGACAUUGAGACGGAGACACGGCCCAAACUCCUACGGGAGGCAGCAGUGGGGAAUAUUGCACAAUGGGGGAAACCCUGAUGCAGCGACGCCGCGUGAGCGAUGAAGUAUUUCGGUAUGUAAAGCUCUAGCAGCAGGGAAGAAAGUGACGGUACCUGACCAAGAAGCCCCGGCUAACUACGUG